GUGCUCUUGAAAAACUGAAAGCUUGCCACAAAUACAUGUCCUACAAACCAAAAUUUCCUGCAGGUAAGAAAUUUUAACAGAAAAAUAGAAAAAGAGAGCGGCCACUUCAAAAACCACACUUGAUGCCCCCAUCAUAGUUACUUUGCAGAAACUACUGAGCAAUUACUUUUGAUUUUUCCUUCCACUCCUCACAGUACAGUAAACUGGAAUAUAGCAUUCUUCAGUUCUCACUUUUAUGCCUUUUCUUGGCUGGUGCUUUUGUUG
This 264-nucleotide unclassified non-coding RNA is filed under the name Hevea brasiliensis (rubber tree). The record is from RNAcentral. Lineage: Eukaryota; Viridiplantae; Streptophyta; Magnoliopsida; Malpighiales; Euphorbiaceae.